Molecule: small RNA, 49 nt
Filed under: Arabidopsis thaliana (thale cress)
Lineage: Eukaryota; Viridiplantae; Streptophyta; Magnoliopsida; Brassicales; Brassicaceae
Description: ATSL138570
Source: RNAcentral
UGAGGUCUACCUCUCGCGUUCAUGUCAACGCCGUCAGAGCAGAUAGAUU